RNA transcript from Pseudoliparis swirei, 8659 nucleotides. It is a transcript of the gene named transient receptor potential cation channel, subfamily M, member 6, with no coding region annotated. The record is from RefSeq and is a predicted model, not a curated record. The transcript has 39 exons. Lineage: Eukaryota; Metazoa; Chordata; Actinopteri; Perciformes; Liparidae.
GGAAAAGAGUGCAGUUCAUGUUUUUAUGAAAGGGAGGGACUUGCAGUCAGUUCACAGCAGGUCCAGCAUGCUGCUGCCUGCGCUGGAAUGAGCUUCAUCGAAAAGUCACGUAAAUCUUGGAUUGAGGAAUCCUUCUCCAAAAGAGAUUGUGUGAAGUUUAUCCCUUCAUCUCGGGACCUACACAGAUGUAUCCCAGGAUGUCAAGUAUGCCAAAACUUGAUAAGAUGUGGUUGUGGCCGCCUGAUUGGGGAGCACUCUUGGCAAGAGUCCCUUCCCCCCACAUACCUCUAUCCUGGUCCUGGACAGGACCUGGAAGAGGACUGGUCCAUCGAGCUCCACACCAAAGCCAGUCCCACCAAUGCCUUUGGGACCAUCGACUUUCAGGACACUGCCACACGCGUCUGCCGGGCCAAGUAUGUUCGUGUGGCUGUGGACUCCAAACCAGAGGUGCUGUUCCAGCUGAUGUUGAGGGAGUGGCAGAUGGAGAGACCCAAGCUGAUCCUAUCUGUCCAGGGCGGCUCAGAAAACUUCACCCUGCCCCGUAAAGUCAAGCAGGCGUUCAGCAAAGGGCUGAUCACUGCCGCCCUCAGCACAGGAGCAUGGAUACUCACUGACGGCAUUAAUACAGGUGUGUCUAAGUAUGUGGGCGAGGCAGUGAAAACAUUUGGGGGCCACAACCUGAGGAAGAGAAACACAGUCGGCAUCACACCAUGGGGAGUCAUUGACAACAACACGGACCUCAUAGGCAGAGAUGUGUUCAGGCCCUACCAGCCGCUGGGGAACCCUUUGAGCAAGAGGGCCUGUCUUAAUGGUUUCCACUCCCACUUUCUGUUGGUGGAUGAUGGAACGCUGGGAAAACAUGGCUGCCAACAAGGCCUCAGGAGGCAGCUGGAGAAACACAUCCAUCUCAAGAACAUACACCCUCGACUGAAACAAGGAGUGCCUGUGGUGUGUGUGGUGGUGGAGGGAGGGCCUGCCAUUGUGUCCGCUGUGUUGGACUAUGUUAGCAAUGUUCCCCCUGUGCCAGUGUUUGUCUUUGAGGGAUCGGGCAGGGCUGCCGACCUGCUCGCCUUCUUACACAAGCAGACUUCUAUUGACAGACAGUUGGAUGCUGACAUUAAAGAGGGCUUCCUUGUCAGGAUUGGAGAUGUGUUUGGAGUCGAGACAGCAGAAGCGUCUCAGCUCUGCAGUCUCCUCCUGCAGUGUAUGGAUCACAGAGAGUCUAUAACCAUCUUUGACUCGGAGGACCAAACGGCACCUGAUGCAGCCAUUUUGACAACUAUUCUCAAGGGUACCUCGGCCAGUCCUGCAGAGCAGCUGAGCAUGGCCCUCGCCUGGGACAGGGCUGACAUCGCACAGAAACACGUCCUGGUGUACGGACAGCAUUGGGAGGUGGGUUCCUUGGAGCAGGCCAUGCUGGAUGCUCUGGUGAUGGACCGAGUCAGUUUUGUCAAACUGCUGAUUGACAACGGCAUGACUAUGAGCCGCUUCCUGACUGUGUAUCGCCUGGAGGAGCUCUAUAACACGCCACAGGGGCAGACGGACCGUUUCCUGCGCCACCUCGUUGAAGAUGCCAAACAGACUUCUCUUCCCAUCGGUUACCGUCUCUCCCUAAUUGACAUGGGCCUGGUGAUCGAGUCCCUCAUAGGAGGAGCGUACCGCAGCAGCUACACACGGAAACACUUCAGAGCUGCCUACAGCAUCCUGCAGGGCAAAGAGCAGGAUGCGUCACCUGGGAGCAGUCCAGAGGUCACGUCGAGCCCUGGCCCUGGUGACGCUCCACUGCUGGUUCCCUUCAACUUCAACGACCUGUUCGUGUGGGCCAUACUUCACCAGCGGCAGCAGAUGGCACUGUUCCUGUGGCAGCAUGGCGAAGAAACGCUGGCACGUGCAGCAGUGGCUUGUAAGCUUUACCGCUCCAUGGCCUUUGAGGCGCGGCAGAGCAGUAUGGACGACAACAUUUCAGACCGAUUCACGACAUAUUCACUUGAGUUUGGUCAGCUGGCGGUGGACUUGUUAGACUGCGCAUUUCGCCAGAAUAAGAAGAUGGCCAUGAAGCUGUUGAUUUCAGAGAUGGACGUAUGGAGCCACUACACCUGUCUGCAGAUGUCUGUCUCCUCAUGUCAUCGGCCAUUUGUCUCACACUCCAGCACUCAGACCCUCCUCACAGAUCUCUGGACCGGUCCACUCAACAUGAGAAAAAACUCCUUUGUGAAGAUCAUUUUGAGCCUUCUUCUGCCUCCUGCCAUCUUGCUAUUGGAGUUUAAAAGCAAAGCUGAAAUGUGCCAUGUGCCACAGUCCCAUGAGGCAAUACUGUUUGGACUUGAGUCCGGGAAGUCUGAACCAGGCGACGAGGGCAGUCAGGAUGCAGAGCGAGGCCUGUCGUUCCAUGACAGAUAUUCCAUGUCAGAAGCUGUUUCCUCUACCACCGUGCAGUGUCUUUCCUGGAUCACAAGAAUCUAUGACUUCUACACAGCUCCUGUUGUCAAGUUUUGGUUUCACACAAUGUCCUACCUGGUCUUUCUGAUGUUAUUCUCCUACGUCGUCCUGGUGGAGAUGCAGGAUCAACCCAGUGUUCAGGAGUGGCUGGUCAUCGCGUACAUCUUGUCCACUGCAGUGGAGAAGACCAGAGAGGUACUCAUGUCUGAGCCGAGGAAGCUGAGCCAGAAGCUAAAGAUUUGGUUCUCAGAGUACUGGAACAUAUCAGAUGUCAUUGCCAUCCUCCUCUUCCUGGCUGGAUUGACACUGCGUUGGUAUGCCAACCCCUACCGGACGGCAGGACGGAUCAGUUACUGUCUGGACAUCAUCUUCUGGUUCGUCAGGGUGCUGGAUCUGCUGGCUGUCAACCAGCAAGCCGGCCCUUACCUGACCAUGAUCAUUAAGAUGACCAGUAACAUGUUCUUCAUAGUGGUGAUGAUGGCAAUAGUUCUGCUGAGCUUCGGUGUGUCCAGGAAGGCCAUCCUGUCGCCAAACGAGGACCCGUCCUGGAGUCUAGCUCGAGACAUCGUCUUCCAGCCCUACUUUAUGAUCUUCGGAGAGGUCUACGCAACAGAGAUAGAUCCAUGUGACGACGGCAAUCCAUGUCCUCCCGCUUCCUUUCUGACGGCAUUCCUCCAGGCUGUCUAUAUGUUCUUUCAGUAUAUCAUCAUGGUCAACAUUCUCAUUGCAUUUUUUAACAACGUCUACUUUGACUUGGCAUCAAUCUCCAAAAAUCUGUGGAAGUACAACCGAUAUCGUUACAUAAUGACCUACCAGGAGCUACCGUGGUUGCCUCCGCCGUUUAUCCUCAUUAGUCACAUGACCAUAGGUUUAAGAGCCAUCUACAGGAAAUGCAUUGGGGAUGCUGAGCGGGAGGAGAGAGGCUCUGGACUUAAGCUCUACCUGGGCCAUGAGGACCGUAAGAGGCUUCAUGAGUUUGAAGAGAAAUGUGUCGAGGCCUACUUCCACGAGAAGAGUGAAGGUCUUCAAAGCUGUCAAAUGAACAGGAUCAGAGCCACGUCUGAGAGAGCCGAGGAGAUGUGCAUGAUGGUGGGGGAAGUCUCAGACAAGGUCAUCUUCAUUCAGGACAGCCUAUCGGGCUUGGACGGUCAGCUGGGUCAACUCCAGGACCUGUCGGCUCUGGCCGUGGACACCCUCACUCUGCUCUCUGCUUCUGACAGCCUGCAACAGGAGGAGGCUCGUCUGGCUCAAUGUCAACUCCUCACAGAGUCCCGGCACAUCCUCCCUCACAGCUGGACCCUCCCGCACACAAGUGAAGCAGACUGUGAUGUACUUACUCCUACUGUUAACCAUCCUGGUGAGAAUUGCCUGGGCACCUCUAGAGCUGGGUCUCACGCUUCCCUCGCUCACUUUUACGGAGGUGGACCAUCCCACUGUGGGUCUCCUCUUUCUGCCAGAAGCUUGGAGUCAUCAUACCAUAAGCCACACGUGUAUCCCAGUCAGGAGAAAACCUCUGUGGAUAAGCAAGCGGAGGAAAGGACACACGAACAGCUGUCUAACGUCGUAGUAUCCAGAGCCUCUUCCAAUGAUUUCCUUCUGUCCAAGUCUCGAGACAUCUCUGAGGGUUUAGUCAAUCCUGCCUUUUCCCCGGAUGAUAGCCGACCAAGUUCUCGGUACAGACCUUCCAGCCCAUGUGAAAGGUCUUUGAAAUUGACCGGGUGGAGAUAUCUGUCCAGAGACAGUCCCUACGGCCACUGCAGAUCCCUGUCAUCCAGUGUGGAGAAUAUGACUUUCUCUGGGGCACCCCUGACUCUCAUGAGGGGAUCAUUUCCUUCGCUUAAUGAACCGAUGGACAAAGAGAGUUUGUCUGAUGAGAGGAGUUUGAGGGAAAACAGAUCGCUACUGUGCAGCAAGAACAAAGAGUGGUCCAAGUCCUCUGACUUCACUCAAGUCCUAAACAGCAGAGGCAAACGCCACAGCAGGAAGACAGUGAAGAUACAAGAGAGCAGUCCAGAUACUGAAACCACGCAGUCCAAUCUGUCUGAUGCGUGCUGGAGAAGGAACCGGAGAUUGACAGGAGAGCCGGCAUGUUGGUCGGCUUCAACCAGCCUCAGCCAGCUCAAUUUCGAACCAAUGGAUUUGUUGAAAAAGCAAGUGUUUUCCCAUCAGGAUGUGUGGAGCAGCUGGGCCCGAUCCAUGAGCCACAAGUCUUCUUUACAGAGUGGGAUUGCCUCCGAAGUGAAGAGCUCCUCAUUCCAGUCCUCUGAAAUUUUGUAUCCGCACUAUUCAGCUAUGGAGAGAAACAAUCUGAUGAGACUGGCUCAGACCAUUCCCUUCACUCCUGUCUCCAUUCUGGGAGGUGAAGAGGUGAGCAUCUACUCUCUGGAGGAAGUGUCCUCUGGUGCUGACCCAGAAUGUGGCCCAGUCUCCUCCUGGUCGUCACGAGGCCUGUCUGCCAUGCUGCAGCCCCUCUCCAGUGAAGAGGGCUCUAUGGACGGGGGUCUCCGACUGGGCUGCAGGGUGCUGUGUACCUGGGCAGAACGGAACGUGCUCGGACCUGGUCUGGUGUACGUGGUCAAAGCCUUCAGGCCGGAGGUGGUUCGUGCCUGGCAGAUGUACUUCGAUGGUAGCACGGCACUACAGCUUUGUUUAAGAGAGAUCCAGCAGCAGAGAGCAGCCCAGAAGAUGAUGCAAAUGUUCAACGAGGUCAAACCUGAUGAUAUGCAUCACUCACCAAGGUGUGCGUUUUCUCUUGUGCAUGCAUUUGUGCGUUUCUGUACAUGUACUAAUGUAUUUCCCCCCACCAGGUAUCUAGAUGUAGCGCUGGUCUUCUGGCAUUCCAAUGGCCAGUGGAUGACUAUCGAGAGGAACAUGUCGGGGGACUUCAGGAAGUACAACAACAACACUGGAGAAGAGAUCACCCCCUGCUGUUCACUGGAAGAAAUGCUGCUAGCCUUCUCCCACUGGACAUACGAGUACUCAUGCAGAGAGCUUCUGGUGCUCGAUAUACAAGGUGUCGAAGAGGAGCUGACCGAUCCGACUGUCAUUAUGGCAGACGAUCAAAGAGGUGAGAUGCUUUUUGGUCCAGAUAACCUCGGAGAUGCCGCCAUCAGCGGUUUCCUGCAGAAACAUUCUUGCGGUGGCUGCUGCCGCCGACUGGGCCUGACAGAUUUAAGAAAGAGUCCGGACAGCUGCGAGGAAGAGCCGACAUGGGGGAAAGAAGAACAAGAGGGCGAUGAACCCAGGAUGUGAUCUUUGACCCAGGAAAUCCUUAAUGAAUCUUCACAAAGGCUGACUGAGUACAUCUUUGUCACCAGAGCCUUCACUGUUGUCGGGGCAUGUGAAAAACCCAUUAGUUGGUGAAAAACAACAACUAUUGGUUCAACUUUGCUCCAUGUGCUUCUUCAGCCUUGAGAGUGUUAUUGCAUUCAGUUUGUGGAAAGAACAUGAACACAUGUUGCUCUCCGCUCAUGAGAUACACAUGACAUGGCGUUUACAGGCGAUGUGACUUCCCAGCUGCAUUUGAAGCACACACUUUGAAUAAUGCCGCAGAUGUUUUCACCUGCUCGGCCUGAACCAUUUAACUGAGAGACAUGAUGUGCGGUUCUUGAAUGAGACAGAUUAAAGGGUGGGUUGGGUGCUUAACAUUUUGCCUUUGAAUAGUUAUAGUCUGUAUAGUGCAUGUGGGUCUUUGGGUGAUGUUAUCAGAAAUAAUCUGUCACUCAUUGUCUAUCUAAGCAAAUACUCUCUCGAGCUGUCUUUUCUAUCAUGGUAUUUUACUUUUAUCUGUGUUUAAAUGUGAAUAUUGUUACUGUGGUAGUCCAUUGUAAUGGCCGUAUGGCCAGUAAUGUUGUAGCUGCUGUCAGUAUUCCUGUAAUGCAGUUUUACUUUGUUUUUACAUGAGUGUUUCUCUACCAUUGAAUAGUAGAUUUAAUUUCUGCCUAUUUGAAAGCCUUUUCAUGAAGUGUUUGUGUUGUAUUCCAAUCUUUAUUUUAUGGAUAAGGUCUGACCACAUAUGUGUCCUUAAAAUGCAAAAAUCUAGAGAGCUCUCAACAACUUAAAAAAUGAAAAAUAACAGCCAUAUUAUCGUCAAGUCUCCUUCGAACAUUUGCAGUACAGUAACCUUGAGUUAAGAUUAGCACAGAAGUUGUAAUGUAUAGAGAACUCAGAAUUGUAAAAACUAUUCCGAAGAGAGCAUUGCUGGAGCUAGCUUAACUUUGAAUGCUGCUGGGCUUGAUUUAGUGGACAUUGACGAGCUUUAGAUAAACAAUAAUGUUCAUGGUUUCUACCAGUGGGCCAUACAGGUGAAAGAAUAAACCAGCGUCUAAAAAAGUGGACACCAAAAUCCAGACACUUGCAACAGAAAUAAAAUACUUUAUUCAAAUGUGUCUCUAAAUAUAGGCUAUUAAUUGUAGGCUACUAUCGGAAAAAGAUGACAGGAAUUUUAUAUGGAUGCUGUUUACGUCCACAGAGAAAUAACAAUGAAGUCUAAAAAAAAAAAAUUCUGUAUACAAAAUAAAGUGUCCUAGAGAAUCUGAUGAACAAAAACAAACUCCAUGUGAGCGUAUGAUGAAGUUUGUUUGGCAGGCUGAGGAGGAAAAUAAAGACAAAGGACAAAGCGGUGGGAAGAACGAGAGGCUACGGAGGUGUCCAUGUCGCUCAUUCUGCAAAUAAACAAAAAGUAAACAGCAGCGGAGGAAACACUGCGACACUUGAUGCUGCUGAUCGCUUUUCCGCCUGCCCACUCAAGUUUCCCAGAAGGCCUUUCUGCCGGCCACAGGACAAAAGUAGCGCAAAAAGGCAACACCUCUUUCCCCCUUCGGGCGCUCGGAGACAAAAGGGAGAAAAAAAGCGAUACAACAUCUUUGUUUGCCGAGAUUAAAACAUGUUGCAUUCUCCGCCUCCCUCCCAUACUCUCGCCUCUCUUCCCUCCGUCUCUCCCCAGAGGUAACUCUACCGGGCCAGAGAUGCAACUGUCAGUGAACUCACUCUCUCUCUCUCUCUCUCUCUCCAUUUUCGGUAGCUCAUAAAAUCUGCCAUAUUAUUUCUGUGUAUUCUAUUGUCGAGGUGACAUUGUAUUGCAUCUUGUGACGUUGCGAUGAGCGGAUAAGCCUUGGCACGGCGUGAAUGAGAAGGCCUCUCCUUCUGCUGGGCGAUACGGGGAUAUAGUUGGUGAUGUGACCAGACUUGUGCCCCAGCCUGAUUGUUAAUGACUGAAACUGAGUAGCUGUUGAUAUAAAAGAACACCCAGCCGUACCCCUCCAUAGAGGGAAUCUGACUCUGACGAUAACAGCUCAGGAAUUCACACGUGAACAAAGACAAGUGCCGUGUGCCCUGCCACAUCAUAAUAAAGUAUUCACAGAAUAAUUGCCUGAUCCGUGUGCUGUGAUAACAGAACACGUUGAGGUGUAAGGAGGGCCACGCUUUGUUUACAGCAAACUGAACCAGCUUCUCUCACACUUGGCAACAAGUCUUACGCAGUUCCCAUAAUAACGGUUAUUAUUCUACAAAGUUCACAGUCGACAUGUGAGGCGACACGCAGAUCAAAUCCAACAAUCUAUCACUACAAUGGUAGCCGUGGCAGGGAGGGUGGCCCAGAGACACGCACUCUCUUCAUGGGGGGUUUCUGCCAAUCUGGCAACCACAGCGGGAGGUCCAACUCUCAUCAGCGCUGUAGGAUUCAGACCACUUGUCUACCGCUCCGUUGUCUCUCAUCUGCACACAGGCUUUAAGACAGAACUAGCAAAUGAUGUGCAAUCAGUCGAUUGUUUAUUCAGAGAUGCGUUUUUGAGUUUUUCUAAUGUAAUUUGACGGUGUUUGUAAGUACAAAUAAAAUGAUACCAACCCCUAGCUGUUGUUUUGGGGUCGCAGUAACAGCAUGUCAUCUUUUCUUUCAUGUAAACUGACCAUUUUAACCAUUUGAAUGAUUUUUCAUACACAGGGAAAGUAAAUCCAAUGAGUUGAGAAUUCAAGUAUUUUUUUGACCUUGGGAAUAUAGUUUCUCACCAGUUUGAAGUUAAUUUUCAAAACUUAAAUCUCAAGAUGUCAUGGAAAUGUGUGCAUACCAUGACAACAGGGUAAACUCCAUCUGCUGAGCAAGAUCGGGCGAUAAAGUCUGAAGCUCAAAAACAACUCAACUCCUCAAUGAACUUCGUGGAUGAGAUUGUUUGUGAAACACCCAACAGUUUCCCUAUUUUUGGGGCUUAUUCCCACAACAGUA